GAGUAUGUUUCUGUGGAGAUU
This 21-nucleotide unclassified non-coding RNA is filed under the name synthetic construct. The record is from RNAcentral.